AAAAACAGAAUUGGAAGAAUCAAAAUCUCAACCUAAAAGGAUAAAAAAUUGUUGUUCGAUUUGACGAGUGAUACAAUCCAUUUGAGGCUUGAUAGUGGUAACCUUUUAUUGGUUGUCAAACAUUGUUUUGUUAUUUUAACGCUUAGGCCAAAGCAAUAUCCAAAGAUCAAAGUAUUACUCAGGCACCAUUUUGUGGCAUAUUGUUGCCAAGAAGUUGUUAACGUCAUUGUGUAGUGCCUUGGCGCAAUCAUAAUGCAUCUGCAGGCAAUUAUAAACGCUUUUAUUAUUUGCAGGUUUUCAAUUUUUAUGUCAGCAGGGUUCGGUCACUAUCCUUGCGAAUGGCAGGAGAGCAUUGUAAAGGCUUAGUUCUAUUCAAUUGUGGUUGUGUGAGGGGAAACCAUUGUAUUUAAUAUGCGAUGACAGAUGACAUUUCAAAAGAUAAAUUAUAUUUCUGCAGAUGAGAGUUCAUUGUAGUGCCAUGCAUAGGAACUUAAGACAAUUCCUCUGUCAUAACAUCGAGUGUGGCAAUCCCCAUUACACCCAAUUAAGAAAAUAUGACAUAUCCGCCACCGCAUGUUCUCCAAAACACGAGAUGGGAAAUAUGUGGGAGGAACUCACUUGCAAAAAGGACCAAUCGGAAGCGCACAUGAAUGCCGAGAGGCCACAAUAGAGGUUGCGUAGGAAAAAAAUAACGAGCUCUUUUCAUGUUGUUUUGUGUCUUCUUGCUCCCUUUCGCCUUUUCUAGGUCAUAAUUUCACAGCUUUUCUAAAAUACGACCCUGUGAAGAUAAUCAGAUGCGUAUAAUCUUUGACCAGCUAAGAAGGCACAUUUAGGACACGUUUGGAAGUAGCAACAGUGGUGCAUAGCAACAUCUUCCAUCUCCAACCCAAUGCUGAGUGAUUAAAGAGCAACUUCUCCUACUUAAUAAGUGACUAAUCCUCGUGCCCUUUUGCUCUGUCAGUUCAAACAGAUGACCCAGCAAGCCCGGGAGAUUCAUCAAGGUAAGAUUGCUUUGCUUUUUCUUGUUGGUUCAACAAGGAGUCCUCCAGAAUCAUCUUUUGUUUUAUGUAAAAAUAAAGAUGGAGAGCACAGACCGUUAGUGACCUACA
This is a long non-coding RNA of Syngnathus acus (greater pipefish), 1109 nucleotides long. RefSeq lists it as uncharacterized. The record is from RefSeq and is a predicted model, not a curated record. NCBI's taxonomy places the organism in Eukaryota, Metazoa, Chordata, Actinopteri, Syngnathiformes, Syngnathidae. The transcript is spliced from 3 exons.